CACAGAGGAACAGAAAAUUGGGCUGCUUUUGCAAUCUACAACAGUGUUUUACCGAAAUAAGAUAAUUAGAGAAGUAUUUUGGGAAACUUAUUUACACUGGCAAAUGCCCUUGUGACUCUCACCAGACCUGUGAAUAGUUUAUUCCUACCAAGAUAGCCACUCUGUAGGAGAGCCCUGACUGGAAAAGAAGUUAGGUUCGGGUAUGUUGGUCGUGUGAGAUGCAGAAGAGGCAGCACAACAAAACACAUGGUAUAUUAAUCCGUUUUCACACUGCUAAUAAAGACAUACCAGAGACUGGGUAACUUAUACAGGGUAGAUGUUUAAUGGACUCACAGUUCCACAUGGAUGGGAGGCCUCACAAUUAUGAUGGAAGGCAAGGAGGAACAAGUCACGCCUUACAUGGAUGACAGCAGGCAAAGAGAGAGCUUGUGCAGGGAAACUCCCCUUUUUAAAACCAUCAGAUCUCGUGAGACUUAUUCACUAUCACGAGAACAGCACAGGAAAGACCCACCCCCAAGAUUCAAUUACCUCCCACUGGGUCCCUCCCACAACAUGUGGGAAUUGUGGGAGCUACAAUUCAAGAUGAAAUUUGGGUAGGGACACAGCCAAACUAUAUCACAUGGAAUAAUAGAAGCAGUUUUAUUACUCACAUAUACCCUAGAGAGAAGAGAGCAGCACAUUUUUCAGGACCGACAGGAAGGAGGGAGUCCAGGACACACACUCAACUGUCAAGUGGGGAGCAAGAGAGAUAGAGUAAGAGACCUGAGGUCCAAAGACUUUAUUGGGGUUCAGGCCAUUUCCUAGGUAGAUUUCCGGUGGGGAGUUACAACUGGUGGGUUUAAGAGCAAGUGGGCAGUUUGAUGCAGUCCUGCAGUGACUGAAAGGUGGUCACUGUGGCCUAUCUACAAAGCACAUGCCACAUGUGGGAGUGGGUAGAGCAAGUAGGUUGAAUGUAACUAUCUCGUAGGGAAGUAGUCACCAGGAGGCAGUUAAUGAGACAGAUAUCUGAAUGAAACACCUUGAAAAAC
This 1028-nucleotide long non-coding RNA is filed under the name Homo sapiens (human). RNAcentral describes it as "HSALNT0192075". Lineage: Eukaryota; Metazoa; Chordata; Mammalia; Primates; Hominidae. The record is from RNAcentral.